Molecule: ribosomal RNA, 383 nt
Filed under: uncultured eukaryote
Lineage: Eukaryota
Description: partial 18S ribosomal RNA
Rfam family: Eukaryotic small subunit ribosomal RNA
Source: RNAcentral
CAAUAGCGUAUAUUAAAGUUGUUGCAGUUAAAAAGCUCGUAGUUGGAUUUCUGGUGGGAGCGAUCGGUCUGGCGCUUAGCGCGAGUACUUGCAUCGUCUCCGGCCAUCCUUGGGGAGAGUCUGUCUGGCAUUAGGUUGUCGGGCAUAGGAUCCUCAUCGUUUACUGUGAAAAAAUUAGAGUGUUCAAAGCAGGCUUAUGCCGUUGAAUAUAUUAGCAUGGAAUAAUAAGAUAGGACUUUGGUACUAUUUUGUUGGUUUGCGCACCAAAGUAAUGAUUAAUAGGGACAGUUGGGGGUAUUCGUAUUCCGUUGUCAGAGGUGAAAUUCUUGGAUUUACGGAAGACGAACUACUGCGAAAGCAUUUACCAAGGAUGUUUUCAUUAA